Molecule: long non-coding RNA, 1123 nt
Organism: Corticium candelabrum
Lineage: Eukaryota; Metazoa; Porifera; Homoscleromorpha; Homosclerophorida; Plakinidae
Exons: 6
Source: RefSeq, a predicted model, not a curated record
UAACUUAAAAAUCUAAAACUAUCUUUCUUGUCAUGUAUGCAACUAGAACUAUCAAUUUCCAAAUAAAAGAAUUUUUGAUUUUUGCAUUGCAGUUACCCUAUAAACAUUGGUAACAGAGCCAUGAAGACUUAGAAAGGAAAUCAGUUGAGGGGAGAAGAUUAACAGUGUUUGACGUAUUUAACAUCAUUGGCAGAUUCUUUAUUAUGGCAUCAGUAUUAUGCUGUCGUUUGCCACAGACUGUUAGUAUGUGUCAAUCAGCAUGCUUGCAUGUCACCAGUAAUUUCAAGUACACUUUGGGGAGGAUGGAGGGUUGGCAAUUAGUACAUUUUGUGCUUGUGAAAUUGAUUUUUGUGUUUGUCUAGAAGGUCAAAAAUGAUGUUGCCACUGCUGUAGAGAAACCCAAACAAACUUUAUUGGUCAAACAGUUAGUUCCUCCAGAUUCACCAGCAGUUCCAAGUACUACUGCGCAGGUAACCAAAUUGAACCAACCUAGAACAUUGCCGUCACCAGGAGCUCUCUCUUUAAACAAUGUAAAGUUAAGUCAGUUGCCUGUUUCUGUUCCAGUCUCUACACCAAAGCCAAACAAGGUAGCGGUGCAGAGGAACCUUGAAAUUCAGAAACAAAAGCAAGCUUUGGUGGCAAAACAGAUAGAACAGCAAAAGUUGCUUAUUUCUAAACUGGAGAAUGGUCAGUUGUCUGGUGAUGAGAGAGUAAAUGUGAUGAAGACUCUUAAGUCAUUGUCAGCUGGAAUUGCAGCUCUGCAACAGUCUGCAACUAGUGGUACUUCAGCAGUGAAACGUGCAGCAGCAAUAUCAGAACCUCCCAACAAGAAAGUAGCUGUUGAGCAGCAAUGGUGAUGGAAUCAAAGUAAGAUUAGAGACAAGAGUGAAGGUUUUAGGUAGCUAACAGAAACUGUGCACCAGUAUAUAAUGUAGCUUGGAUAAGGAAACACUGAAGUGGCAUUUUCGAGGAAGAGAUUGAGCGUUUACAAGUUUGAGACAUUGCUGACUAUGACAGUGUGUUCUAGAGUAUUUUUGUUACAGUUCCUGUAGUACACAUGUAAUGCUUUGUCUACUUUGUAACUACUCUCUUUAUGGUUAUCAUCACAUGUGAGUAAGACUUG